GCUCGCUUAGUUCUUCCCACUGAUGC
RNAcentral lists this non-coding RNA (26 nucleotides) under Homo sapiens (human). Lineage: Eukaryota; Metazoa; Chordata; Mammalia; Primates; Hominidae. The record is from RNAcentral.